CGAGUCGGCCGGACGGUCGCGGCCCCUCCCGGGGGUCGAGGAAAGUCCGGGCUCCACAGGGCAGGGUGGUCGGCAACACCGACCCGGGGUGACCCGCGGGAAAGUGCCACAGAAAGCAGACCGCCCCCGUCGCGCUCAUGACGGCGGGAGCAAGGGUGAAACGGUGCGGUAAGAGCGCACCAGCGCCCGGGGCGACCCGGGCGGCUCGGCAAACCCCACCCGGAGCAAGGUCGAGAGGCGCGGUCGCGAGGCCGUGCUGCCCGAGCGCUCGAGGGCUGCCCGCCCGAGCUCGGGGGUGGACCGCACGAGGCCGGCGGCAACGCCGGUCCCAGAUGGAUGGCCGUCACCUCCGCUGCGCUCUUCGGCGUGGCGGAGGGACAGAACCCGGCUUACAGGCCGGCUCGUCCC
RNAcentral lists this RNase P RNA (408 nucleotides) under Actinomycetota bacterium. RNAcentral's name for it is "RNase P RNA component class A". It matches the Rfam family "Bacterial RNase P class A". From Rfam's summary of the family: Ribonuclease P (RNase P) is a ubiquitous endoribonuclease, found in archaea, bacteria and eukarya as well as chloroplasts and mitochondria. The record is from RNAcentral. Lineage: Bacteria; Bacillati; Actinomycetota.